RNAcentral lists this non-coding RNA (197 nucleotides) under Hydrocarboniphaga daqingensis. Lineage: Bacteria; Pseudomonadati; Pseudomonadota; Gammaproteobacteria; Nevskiales; Nevskiaceae. The record is from RNAcentral.
GCGUAGAAUGGCGGCGCAGGUGUCCAACGGCCGAUCAGCCGAAGGGUGAAACGGGAAGUUCGUGCAAAGCGAACACUGCCCCCGCAACGGUAAGUGGGAAGCCACGGCGUACACGCCACUGGGCCGGAUCGCGGCCUGGGAAGGUGCCGAUGGCAUGGCCCACGAGUCCGGAGACCGGCCUGUGCAGCCUCGACUUC